AGCAGUGUGGCUUAGUGGCAAGAGCCUGGGUUUAGGAGUCAGAGAUCUUGGGUUCGAAUCCCAGCUCUGCCG
Molecule: non-coding RNA, 72 nt
Organism: Ornithorhynchus anatinus (platypus)
Lineage: Eukaryota; Metazoa; Chordata; Mammalia; Monotremata; Ornithorhynchidae
Source: Rfam